GAUGAACGCUGGCGGCGUGCCUAAUACAUGCAAGUCGAGCGAACAGACGAGGAGCUUGCUCCUCUGACGUUAGCGGCGGACGGGUGAGUAACACAUGGAUAACCUACCUAUAAGACUGGGAUAACUACGGGAAACCGGAGAUAAUACUAGCUAAUAUAUUGAACCGCAUGGUUCAAUAGUGAAAGACGGUUUUGCUGUCACUUAUAGAUGGAUCCGCGCCGCAUUAGCUAGUUGGUAAGGUAACGGCUUACCAAGGCAACGAUGCGUAGCCGACCUGAGAGGGUGAUCGGCCACACUGGAACUGAGACACGGUCCAGACUCCUACGGGAGGCAGCAGUAGGGAAUCUUCCGCAAUGGGCGAAAGCCUGACGGAGCAACGCCGCGUGAGUGAUGAAGGUCUUCGGAUCGUAAAACUCUGUUAUUAGGAAAGAACAAAUGUAGAUGUAACUAUGCACGUCUUGACGGUACCUAAUCAGAAAGCCACGGCUAACUACGUG
Molecule: ribosomal RNA, 497 nt
Filed under: uncultured bacterium
Lineage: Bacteria
Description: partial 16S ribosomal RNA
Rfam family: Bacterial small subunit ribosomal RNA
Source: RNAcentral